GGGCUCAUAGCUCAGUUGGUUAGAGCUGCGGACUCAUAAUCCGUAGGUCCGGGGUUCAAGUCCCUGUGAGCCCA
Molecule: transfer RNA, 74 nt
Filed under: Treponema sp.
Lineage: Bacteria; Pseudomonadati; Spirochaetota; Spirochaetia; Treponematales; Treponemataceae
Description: tRNA-Ile
Rfam family: tRNA
About the family: Transfer RNA (tRNA) molecules are approximately 80 nucleotides in length.
Source: RNAcentral